AAGGGAGACCUAAUUCAGGUAGGAGACGAAAAAAAAGUAGUCGCUACCAAGAAUCAAUCCCAAAAGGUCGGAGCGAGGCAAAAUUGGCUUUCAAACUAGGUUCUGGGUUCACACAAGACCUGAAUCAGGAACAAGGGCUAUUAGCUCAGGUGGUUAGAGCGCACCCCUGAUAAGGGUGAGGUCCCUGGUUCGAGUCCAGGAUGGCCCACCUGCACAGGUGGCAAAAACAAAGAAAAAAAGCUCCGAAUCAGCACCUUAUCUUACUUAUAUAGUAAGAGAGAAUGCUGGCUCUGAGUACAGAGUCCAGAGGAACCUUGAAAACUGCAUAGAGCUAGGUGAAAAAGCCAAAAAAGAAGACCGCAA
RNAcentral lists this transfer RNA (363 nucleotides) under Microcystis sp. BG44. RNAcentral's name for it is "16S-23S ribosomal RNA intergenic spacer". The stretch from base 135 to 208 matches the Rfam family "tRNA". Lineage: Bacteria; Bacillati; Cyanobacteriota; Cyanophyceae; Chroococcales; Microcystaceae. The record is from RNAcentral.